CCCUUAGAUGUUCGGGGCCGCACGCGCGCUACACUGGCGGAAUCAGCGGGUAUUUCUCCCUUGGCCGGAAGGUCUGGGUAAUCCGCUGAACCUCCUCCGUGAUGGGGAUAGGGAAUUGCAAUUAUUUCCCUUGAACGAGGAAUUCCCAGUAAGCGCGAGUCAUCAGCUCGCGUUGAUUACGUCCCUGCCCUUUGUACACACCGCCCGUCGCUCCUACCGAUUGAGUGCUCAGGUGAAUAAUUCGGACUGCAGCAAUGUUCGGAUCCCGAACGUUGCCGCGGAAAGUUUAGUGAACCUUAUCACUUAGAGGAAGGAGAAGUCGUAACA
RNAcentral lists this ribosomal RNA (327 nucleotides) under uncultured eukaryote. RNAcentral's name for it is "partial 18S ribosomal RNA". It matches the Rfam family "Eukaryotic small subunit ribosomal RNA", at positions 1470 to 1796 of the family's 1831-position model. The record is from RNAcentral.